UCCUGUUCUGAAGGGGGGGGGGUCCUGUCCUGAAGGGGUGAGAGUCCUGUCCUGUUCUGAAGGGGGGGAAGUCCUGAAUGGCCCAGGUCCACCUCCGCAUUGCAGAGUCACCAGGUGCUCAGUGCCCUGCUAAUGACUCAUAAACACCUAUAAACUUCUAGUUCAGCCCAGGAUACAAACAGUACACGAGAAAACCAGGGCUUCACUCCUCAUUAUAUAUAAAUUACCCCAAUGUGUGCUGCCUGGCCCCACUUUUUCUGGGGACUUGUGUCUUUUGCCUCCUGCCUACCCCGUCAAAUGUUGCUUGGAGGUAGGGGUAACAGAUUCUGUUUAGCUCAGGCUUUUACCAACUGCACAGCAAGGCCCUGUUCCGGCAGAUCCUACCGGUGACUGUCCCCCUUCACCCCGGACACAAGCCAAGUAACUCCCUGAAGCAAGAGCAACGGCCAGGAUGGAGGGUGAGCAAUAAGCGCUACGGGAACAAGCUAUGUGGGUACUACAGGUGCCGAGCAUAUUAAGAAGACUAUUUUUGGAAGCAAUGUCUGCUGCCCAAGGCUUCAUCCACAGAGCUCCGCGGGCCAAAGUAGAAUAAGAAGUAGUUCUAGCAAGAAAAUCAAUAUUGGUUUAUGCUGCAUCUGUAAGAAAAUCUGGCUAAUGAAAGUAUUGGGACCUUCAUCUGCUGAACCCUCUGAAGAAACGUCCUCAAACACUGACUCCACUUCAGAGGAUGUCCCCUGAUUAUGUGAAUGCUUAAAGAAUCAAAGAUCUCUUGCAUACCUCCUUUCAUCCAGGUAACAAAAUCUUGCAUGGAAGGCACAGGUAUUUUAAUUUUAUCAGCACAAGAUUUGCAUAGUUUUUCAUUUUCCAAAGAAAUAAACACUCCAUCACAGCCUGCACAAUUUACAGGGUGCUGUUUCUUUAAAUCCUUCAUGUGGAAGGCACAGGUAUUUUAAAGUUAUCAGCACAAGGUUUGCAUAGUUUUUAAUUUUCCAAAGAAAUAAACACUCCAUCACAGCCUGCACAAUUUACAGGGUGCUGUUUCUUUAAAUCCUUCAUGUGCUCUUUUUUGCUACUUUCUGAAGGCAUGUCAUUUGAUCUUGGCUUGUCUUAAAGAGGACCUGUCACCUUGAGACAUGAGUAAUAUAUAGCUUUCCCUCCUUAUUUAAACCCUUUAGUCAGCUGUUUUUGUCUAUAUCCGAAACAGAUCAGAAAAUAUCCUAUAUGUAAAAAGUGUUUCAUAGGCGCUGCCAUCUUGAAACAGGACCCCUUUGUGUUUUGUGUGUGGGCUGAGCCAAACUGCCAAAUCUCAUGCAUGCCUAGUCAUAGAGUAUACUCUUUGAUAGAAAAAUGUAGGGCUAUGGCGAGAAUGCCCACUUUAAAGAGCAUUCUUUUGGUUGAUCAAUAUAUGCCUCAGCACAAAUAAGACAUAAAUUAGUGCUUAUGUUUUGUUGUGUUGUGUACAUUUUUUCUGCAGGUAUAUUAUGAAGUGAGACAGUAGCACUUGUAUUGUAGCUAAAGUGACUACUGGUAGCUGUCCAACUACGAAUAUUAAUAAUAACUAGGAGCAGCUGGAAAAUGAGAGGAGAAAUGUAGGUAUUUAUUCCCAAAACCAAAUAUAGUGUAAGACCUGAAAUAAUGCAGAAUCAAGCCUCAUCAAGCCUUUUCUAAAUAAUCAUCAGAUGAUCCCUCAAACCAGUGGAAGGCAGAAUCUUCAGUUAAUGAAAACGUAUAUAUUUUCUUAUUUUCAUUUGCCUGUGACUGCAUGUGGGGGGUUGGUUACUUAUGGAGUUGCACCUUUAAGGCAGGUCAACAGAACUCACACACACAAACUCAGACUCAGGCACACACUCAGACACACACACAUUCACAGACUCAGGGAUACACACACUCACAGACUCAGGGAUACACACUCAAACACAGACUCAGGGACACACAGAGAUACACACAGAAAUGCACAUCACAGGCACAUGUUUCACAAAAGACUGACCAUUAAAUCAAGGUGAACAGUCACUAACAGAGAGCUCUAACAUAAAUAAACUAAGUAUGCUUCAGUCUGUCCUGCACGCCGAAUACAGCACGAGUCCGUGCG
This is a long non-coding RNA of Xenopus laevis (African clawed frog), 2089 nucleotides long. RefSeq lists it as uncharacterized. The record is from RefSeq and is a predicted model, not a curated record. NCBI's taxonomy places the organism in Eukaryota, Metazoa, Chordata, Amphibia, Anura, Pipidae. The transcript has 3 exons.